AAUAAAAUGGCUGAGCUUAAGCGAUAAAUUGUAAAUUUAUUUACGAGAUUUUUCUCUUUUAUUA
Molecule: transfer RNA, 64 nt
Filed under: Cifuna locuples
Lineage: Eukaryota; Metazoa; Arthropoda; Insecta; Lepidoptera; Erebidae
Description: tRNA-Tyr
Source: RNAcentral